This 250-nucleotide ribosomal RNA is filed under the name uncultured bacterium. RNAcentral's name for it is "partial 16S ribosomal RNA". It matches the Rfam family "Bacterial small subunit ribosomal RNA", at positions 57 to 305 of the family's 1533-position model. The record is from RNAcentral.
GCAAGUCGAACGGUAACGAUGGUAGCUUGCUACCAGGCGACGAGUGGCGGACGGGUGAGUACAACUUAGGAAUCUGCCCAGUAGUGGGGGACAACUCGGGGAAACUCGAGCUAAUACCGCGUACGCCCUUCGGGGGAAAGCAGGGGAUCUUCGGACCUUGCGCUAUUGGAUGAGCCUAAGCCGGAGUAGCGUGUUGGUGGGGUAAAAGAGUACCAAGGCGACGAUCCGUAGCUGGUCUGAGAGGACGAUC